GUGCUCACUUCAGCAGCACAUAUACUAAAAUUUGUGCUGAAUGAUACAGAGAAGUUUAGCAUGGCCCAUGUGCAAGCAUGAUAUGCAAAUUCAUGAAGUGUUCCAUAUUUUA
Molecule: small nuclear RNA, 112 nt
Organism: Nycticebus coucang (slow loris)
Lineage: Eukaryota; Metazoa; Chordata; Mammalia; Primates; Lorisidae
Source: RefSeq, a predicted model, not a curated record